UACGGGGGGGGCAAGCGUUGUUCGGAUUUAUUGGGCGUAAAGAGCGUGUAGGCGGCUUGGCAAGUCCGCUGUGAAAACUCGAGGCUUAACCUCGAGACGUCGGUGGAAACUGCCUGGCUAGAGUCCGGAAGAGGAGUGUGGAAUUCCUGGUGUAGCGGUGAAAUGCGCAGAUAUCAGGAAGAACACCUAUGGCGAAGGCAGCACUCUGGGACGGUACUGACGCUGAGACGCGAAAGCGUGGGGAGCGAACAGG
This 253-nucleotide ribosomal RNA is filed under the name uncultured bacterium. Its description in RNAcentral is "partial 16S ribosomal RNA". It matches the Rfam family "Bacterial small subunit ribosomal RNA", at positions 524 to 776 of the family's 1533-position model. The record is from RNAcentral.